RNAcentral lists this long non-coding RNA (308 nucleotides) under Jatropha curcas. RNAcentral describes it as "long non-coding RNA (JCUR_LNC003418)". Lineage: Eukaryota; Viridiplantae; Streptophyta; Magnoliopsida; Malpighiales; Euphorbiaceae. The record is from RNAcentral.
UUAAUUCCAGCUGAAACCAUUCAAGUCAAGUUGUUUGCAAGUGGAAGCAGCAUCAAUUUCAUCAUGGGUAUUGAGAUCUAGUUUUGUUGCAAAAUAAGGCAGUCUAUAUCCUGGUGAGAUGUUCUCAUUCUGUAGUUUAACUGAAUCUGCUGUUUUUUUAGUCUGGUCAGGGAAUUUGUCAUCAUCAUUCCUUUCCUUGUAUCUUCCCUCAGAAAAGCCACUACAUGGGUUCCUACUUUCUCCUUGGAGUCCAACUCUCAUGGAUAAAUCACUCGAGCUUCUUUCCGAAGAAAAAAUUCUCCUUUCUG